Pseudonaja textilis is the source of this 393-nucleotide non-coding RNA. Lineage: Eukaryota; Metazoa; Chordata; Lepidosauria; Squamata; Elapidae. The record is from RefSeq and is a predicted model, not a curated record.
AUAACAAUAAUUUAAAAAAAUUAAACACAAAUAAGAGACCAAGGUUGUGGGAGAAUAUCAAUAUUCUAAGUACAGUGGGGCUAUCUUACAUGCUCCCUAUGGGUUCCUCAAAGUUGUUGGGAAAACCAUGUUUUAUUACAGAAUGGAACUUCUUAGCAGAAUGGACCCAUAAUGCACCCUUCCUGACAGAUAGAUGUAAUUGGGAAGAGAGGGUCCUUCAAACAACUGCCUUUGGUUUGUUAACCUAUUAAUAUUAAUGCAAAUGAUAUUAAAGCGUCAAAGUUUUCCAUAAAAGCACCUGUCAGUUGUAGUUGCCUGUCAUUAAGUAAAAAGAUAUACAAGCAGCCUCUUUAAUAUCCAUCGUUUAAUUGCAAAAUAUAAUUGUAAAAUCAA